AAUAUGCCCUUCUCUAAGGAAUAGCCUCUGGAAACGGAGAGUAAUACCUUAUACGCCCUUCGGGGGAAAGAUUUAUCGGAGAAGGAUUAGCCCGCGUUAGAUUAGGUAGUUGGUGGGGUAAUGGCCUACCAAGCCUACGAUCUAUAGCUGGUUUGAGAGGAUGAUCAGCCACACUGGGACUGAGACACGGCCCAGACUCCUACGGGAGGCAGCAGUAGGGAAUCUUAGACAAUGGGGGCAACCCUGAUCUAGCCAUGCCGCGUGUGUGAUGAAGGCCCUAGGGUCGUAAAGCACUUUCGCCAGAGAUGAUAAUGACAGUAUCUGGUAAAGAAACCCCGGCUAACUCCGUGCCAGCAGCCGCGGUAAUACGGAGGGGGUUAGCGUUGUUCGGAAUUACUGGGCGUAAAGCGCACGUAGGCGGAUUAGUAAGUUAGAGGUGAAAUCCCAGGGCUCAACCCUGGAACUGCCUUUAAUACUGCUAGUCUUGAGUUCGAGAGAGGUAAGUGGAAUUCCGAGUGUAGAGGUGAAAUUCGUAGAUAUUCGGAGGAACACCAGUGGCGAAGGCGGCUUACUGGCUCGAUACUGACGCUGAGGUGCGAAAGUGUGGGGAGCAAACAGGAUUAGAUACCCUGGUAGUCCACACCGUAAACGAUGAAUGCCAGACGUCAGCAAGUAUACUUGUUGGUGUCA
RNAcentral lists this ribosomal RNA (690 nucleotides) under uncultured Paracoccaceae bacterium. RNAcentral's name for it is "bacterial SSU rRNA". It matches the Rfam family "Bacterial small subunit ribosomal RNA", at positions 123 to 848 of the family's 1533-position model. Lineage: Bacteria; Pseudomonadati; Pseudomonadota; Alphaproteobacteria; Rhodobacterales; Paracoccaceae. The record is from RNAcentral.